Molecule: long non-coding RNA, 526 nt
Organism: Gorilla gorilla gorilla (western lowland gorilla)
Lineage: Eukaryota; Metazoa; Chordata; Mammalia; Primates; Hominidae
Exons: 3
Source: RefSeq, a predicted model, not a curated record
CUGAGCUUAACUAACACCUGGCACAGAGAAGAAACAUAUUAAGGAUUUGCUGAGAGAAUAAGACAGUAUAACUUGGUCUUAUAUCUAAGGCUGGAGUACAAUGGCAUGAUCUCGGCUCACUGAAACCUCUGCCUCCUGGGUUCAUUCAAGCGAUUCUCCUGCCUCAGCCUCCUGAGUAGCUGGGAUUACAGGCAUGCGCCACCAUGCCCGGCUAAUUUUGUAUUUUUAGUAGAGAUGGGGUUUCUUUAUGUUGGUGAGGCUAGUCUCGAACUCCUGACCUCAGGUGAUCCACCUGCCUCGGCCUCCCAAAUUGCUGGGAUUACAGGCAUGGGCUACUGCGCCUGGCCUGUAUCUCCAAUUCUUUACGUAUGCCUGACGAACUGCUAUUCCAUCUUGUAGGGCUAAAAUCAAAUUUUUUUUCAUUUUUGGGAAGCCUCCUCUACAUACCUCCACCUUCUAACUCCAAGAAGUCAAACAAAAAGACCUUUAGGUGCGGGCCCUCUGUCUUGGACUUCUCAACCUCCAG